GUUCUCUGUCUAGAUCUCUCUCACAAGCUUCUUGUUAUGGUUAUUUAUUGUUCACAAGUUUCUUUAAUAUCCUUUUGUGCUUCUGUAUGUGUCGUUCUUGCAUGGAAAACCCAUGAAUCAUUCUUUGUUCGCCCUUUAAAAUCAUAGGGAGUAAACAAAGAGAAUUAUUGGUCACCCAAAGAGGUGUUUCAGAGCACGAGAGCUGCUGUUUCAACUGUGUAACAAUGUGAUAUAGCUAGCUAGCUAGCUAUAGUUUGGCCACAAACAUGCGUAAGUGUUCCCACG
Molecule: unclassified non-coding RNA, 285 nt
Filed under: Hevea brasiliensis (rubber tree)
Lineage: Eukaryota; Viridiplantae; Streptophyta; Magnoliopsida; Malpighiales; Euphorbiaceae
Source: RNAcentral